ACUCCUACGGGAGGCAGCAGUGGGGAAUUUGGACAAUGGGCGAAAGCCUGAUCCAGCAAUGCCGCGUGCAGGAUGAAGGCCCGUCGGGUUGUAAACUGUCUUUGUACGGAACGAAAGCCUGGGGCUAAUAUCCCGGGUCAUGACGGUACCGUAAGAAUAAGCACCGGCUAACUACGUGCCAGCAGCCGCGGUAAUACGUAGGGUGCAAGCGUUAAUCGGAAUUACUGGGCGUAAAGCGUGCGCAGGCGGUUUUGUAAGACAGUGGUGAAAUCCCCGGGCUCAACCUGGGAACUGCCAUUGUGACUGCAAGGCUAGAGUGCGGCAGAGGGGAUGGAAUUCCGCGUGUAGCAGUGAAAUGCGUAGAUAUGCGGAGGAACACCGAUGGCGAAGGCAAUCCCCUGGGCCUGCACUGACGCUCAUGCACGAAAGCGUGGGAGCAAACAGGAUUAGAUACCCCUGGUAGCGACUGA
This 470-nucleotide ribosomal RNA is filed under the name uncultured bacterium. RNAcentral's name for it is "bacterial SSU rRNA". It matches the Rfam family "Bacterial small subunit ribosomal RNA", at positions 335 to 803 of the family's 1533-position model. The record is from RNAcentral.